RNAcentral lists this Y RNA (102 nucleotides) under Saimiri boliviensis boliviensis (Bolivian squirrel monkey). RNAcentral's name for it is "Y RNA (ENSSBOG00000005235.1)". It matches the Rfam family "Y RNA". From Rfam's summary of the family: Y RNAs are components of the Ro ribonucleoprotein particle (Ro RNP), in association with Ro60 and La proteins. The Y RNAs and Ro60 and La proteins are well conserved, but the function of the Ro RNP is not known. Lineage: Eukaryota; Metazoa; Chordata; Mammalia; Primates; Cebidae. The record is from Rfam by way of RNAcentral.
GGCUGGUCCGAGUGCAGUGGUGUUUACAACUAAUUGAUCACAACCAGUUACAGAUUUCUUUGUUCCUGCUCCACUCCCACUGCUUCACUUGACCAGCCUUUA